UACGAGGGGGCGAGCGUUGUUCGGAAUUAUUGGGCGUAAGGGUGCGUAGGCGGCCUGACAAGUCUGAUGUGAAAUCCCUGGGCUCAACCCAGGCCUGCAUCGGAAACUGUCGGCUUGAGUAUGGGAGAGGUGAGUGGAAUUUCCGGUGUAGCGGUGAAAUGCGUAGAUAUCGGAAGGAACACCUGUGGCGAAAGCGGCUCACUGGACCAUUACUGACGCUGAGGCACGAAGCUAG
Molecule: ribosomal RNA, 235 nt
Filed under: uncultured bacterium
Lineage: Bacteria
Description: partial 16S ribosomal RNA
Rfam family: Bacterial small subunit ribosomal RNA
Source: RNAcentral